GCCCUGGUGGCAAAAUGAUUAAGUGCUAGGCUGGUAAUCAAAAGGUUUGUGGUUCAAACCCACCCAGGGUC
This 71-nucleotide transfer RNA is filed under the name Loxodonta africana (African savanna elephant). It matches the Rfam family "tRNA". Rfam says of the family: Transfer RNA (tRNA) molecules are approximately 80 nucleotides in length. Lineage: Eukaryota; Metazoa; Chordata; Mammalia; Proboscidea; Elephantidae. The record is from Rfam by way of RNAcentral.